GAGGUAAUGGCGGAAUGGUUACGCAGCGGAUUGCAAAUCCGUUCAAUGCUGGUUCGAUUCCAGUUUACCUCU
This 72-nucleotide transfer RNA is filed under the name Rhizobium sp. ERR 1071. RNAcentral describes it as "Rhizobium sp. ERR1071 tRNA-Cys". It matches the Rfam family "tRNA". From Rfam's summary of the family: Transfer RNA (tRNA) molecules are approximately 80 nucleotides in length. The record is from RNAcentral. Lineage: Bacteria; Pseudomonadati; Pseudomonadota; Alphaproteobacteria; Hyphomicrobiales; Rhizobiaceae.